AUUGAAGCUUCAUCAAAUCUAUCUGGGCGUUCAUUGCGUAAUACAGUGUUGAGAUUGAGAACAUUUUCAGAGGGGAACUUAAGAACUAGGAGGGUGCAGAUAAGUAAGAGUUGUUGGCAGCAGCAACCUACACAUGUGGAAACAGUGGCUAUGGCGGUUCAAAGGGAAGUUGUGGCUGCUAGA
This is a long non-coding RNA of Triticum dicoccoides, 183 nucleotides long. RefSeq lists it as uncharacterized. Lineage: Eukaryota; Viridiplantae; Streptophyta; Magnoliopsida; Poales; Poaceae. The transcript has 2 exons. The record is from RefSeq and is a predicted model, not a curated record.